UCCUCCUGCACUUUUAAAGGAUCUUA
RNAcentral lists this transfer RNA (26 nucleotides) under Sphenomorphus melanopogon. RNAcentral describes it as "partial tRNA-Leu". Lineage: Eukaryota; Metazoa; Chordata; Lepidosauria; Squamata; Scincidae. The record is from RNAcentral.